UCAGAACAACUCUUCUCCACUGCUCUCUUAUAGUAACUAGUUUUUUUCACUCCAUACCAAAAGAGCCUAGAAAAAAAAAUGAUGAAGCAGUUGCUCUCCCCAGCACUUCUUGUUCUGAUCUUCUUCCUCCUCUGCACCACAACUUCUGGUCAGUCUUCAGCACCAGCUGCGGCACCUUCUGGUCCUUCAGUUUCCUCAGGCUCUUCAUCAGGUCCUCCCGACAUCACUGCAAUUCUCAGAAAAGCUGGUAAGUUUACUACCUUCAUUGGGCUACUAAAGAGCACCCAGGUGGAUGACCUAAUCAACAACCAACUGAAAGCCAACCUGGGCUUCACCAUAUUUGCCCCAACCGAUAGUGCCUUUUCAGACCUCAAAUCAGGUACACUAAACUCAUUCACUGAUGAGCAGAAGACAGCACUGACAAAAUUCCACAUAGUGCCUUCUUUCCUGACUAUCUCACAGUUCCAAACUGUUAGCAACCCGGUGAACACAGUGGCAGGUGAUUCUGUGGAGUUUCCACUGAAUGUGAUAAGCAACGGAACUCAGGUGAACAUCACAACAGGGCUUGUCAAUACAACAGCGGACAGCACAGUACACAGCGAUGGUCAGCUUGCUGUGUAUGAGAUAGGCGAGGUGCUCCUUUCACAAGGUAUCCUCAAGCCUCUUGCAGAAGCUCCCCUAUCUCCCAAACCUAAGAAGGCUUCUCCUCCUAAUGCAUAUGCUCCUUCAAAGUCGACCGGCGCUUCUGCUAUUUCUUCUGAUGCUACGUGUCUUUCACCCUAUGCACCGACCGUAGCAUCCGUUGGAGUGGCUGUUCUUGCGGCAGUGCGCUUGUGCCUAUGAACUGAGUAUUGAUUGAUGAAUGACGAUGGUGUGAUCGAUCUGCAGUGUGCUUUUGCUGUCAUGAUUUUCGCUUAAUCAAAUUAUUACUUUGUAUUUGUCCUUGAAUUAGGAAAAAUGGGAUUAAUAAUACAAGGCUACUUAAUUUUGGUUUCAUAUUAAAAAUAUUGGUAAAUUGAGGCUUUCGCAAGGGAUGGUCAAGGAAAGGAGAAACUUUUGGUCUUUUGCUUUGGUGUCGAAUACUUUUUUUAAUUAGAUUAAAUUGAAAUCUUGGUAAAAAGUGGCUAUGUUUGAUUUUGAAAAAUAGUAGGUAAAGAAAAAAAGAUAAAGAAAAUGUUUUCUUUUUCUAUGAAAAAUGAAAAAAAAAAGUUAAAUAUAAUUAAAAUUAUGAAGAAAUUUGAAUUUUUUCAAAUUAGUUAAUUUAUAUAUAGAAGAGUUAAAUCCGUUAAAAAAAAAAAUAAUAUAUAAAUUUUUUUUAUAAAAUUUAUAUCUAUUUUUUCAUUUUCCUUUACUUUUUAUCUUAAUUUUAUUUCCCUCAUAUUUUCCUUCAAACUUUUUGGAACCAAACAUAAUCUUAAAAUAUUAAAUACUAAUUGGGUAUUAAUAAACCCAAAAUUUUCUAAUUACUUUUGUAAUUAAGUUAAGUGACAAUAAUUAAUAAUUUUUUUUAAAAAAUAGUGUGACAUGUGAUAGAUAGGUCAUGAUAAGUAGUGUAAGGUUAAAAAUGAUAACUGGAUAUUCUAAAAUAUUGAUGCUUGUUGGAAGGCCUUCCCAUAUGUAACACAUGUCUGUUAAUCCCUUUGUUAAAGAUUGGAUUAUGAUAGUGUCACGGCCAGGAUGAUAAAGCCGAAAGGCCUAGAGUAUCAUUAAUCAGUGGGGUUUGUUUUCAUAAUUUAACUUGGAUCUGAAUCAUGUCAAUUUGUUUUUGUUGGUACCUAAAUCAUGUUAAAUCUUCUAGUUUUUAAAUCCAAAAAAAGAAAAAAAAAAUUUAAGGAUUAUGGAUUAAAUGUUUUAAUCUUAAAAAUAAUUAUCACAUUUAUUUAUUUAUUUUUUUGCUUUGUAUAAUUAAAAUAAGAUAUUUAAAAAUUAAUAAUUUAAUAAAAUAGCAAUUUAACAUAUAUCCAAAAUACCAAAACCUAUUAUAAUAAUAAAAAAUUUAAAGAUUAAUAAUUUAAACACCUUGCUAUUACAUAUUACUAAUUAAAUACCUAAAAAUAUUAAAUUUAUUAACAUAGUAAAAAUAUAGAAAAAAUGACAAAAUUAAUUAAAUGCUUGAAGAGCCUAUUUGCAAUUUGGCUUAGAAGAAGCUUUUGUAUAAACAUGUGUAAAAUGUCUUAAAUCUUGAAAAAAAAUUUACAUCGUUAAAAAUAAUAUGAAAGUAAAAGAAAUAUUAACUUUUUCCCUUUGAAUAAAAUUGUCUUAUCAAUUAAAGAUGGAUAUAAAUUGAGCUUAAAUUUAUCCAGGCUAAUGUCCAUGAAUAUACCGGUAACCGCAAAUUUAGCAAUUUAAUUAGUUGACAAAUCAUAGUAAUAAGGAUUGGAGCCCCGAGGGGAGCAUGAACUGCUGUCUCCCACUGCCACUAACCAUGUCCAUGUCUUCAGUAUCGUCCCCUUGCAGAAAGGGAUGCGUAUCUUUUUUUCCUUCCUUGCUAAGCAAACUAUACUAGAUGUUUUAACAAUAUGUAACACCCCAUCUGUGUCUUCCUCUACCUUACUAAUAUAGAUGGGAUAUAUAUUGAGGUUCUCAUGCCAACUUCGAAAAGCAACCUUUCACCGAAAUUCAUGCUCACUUCCCAUCUCACCCCACUCAAUAAAAGCCCCAUUAGUUCCCCCCUCCAUAUUCAUCCAAAACAACCAUUCUCCACUUCUUUCUCGGAGCAGCAAGUUUCUCCACUCAAUAUCAGAAGAGCCUAGAAAAAUAUGAUGAAGCAGCUUUUCUCCUCCACUCUUCUUGGGAUGAUCUUCCUCCUCUGCAGCUCAUCAAUUUCUGGUCAGUCUUUGACACCGGCUCAAGCACCUUCAGGUUCUACCACAACUUCUGGUCAGUCUUCACCACCAACUCAAGCACCUUCAGGUUCUUCAUCUCCUUCAGGUCCCGCUGACAUCAUUGCAGUUCUCACAAAGGCCGGUAAGUUUACUACCUUCAUUGGGCUACUAAAGAGCA
Molecule: long non-coding RNA, 3003 nt
Filed under: Vitis vinifera (wine grape)
Lineage: Eukaryota; Viridiplantae; Streptophyta; Magnoliopsida; Vitales; Vitaceae
Description: long non-coding RNA (VVIN_LNC002539)
Source: RNAcentral